UACGUAGGGGGCAAGCGUUGUCCGGAUUUAUUGGGCGUAAAGAGCUCGUAGGCGGUCGUUCACGUCGGGUGUGAAAGCUCGGGGCUCAACCUCGAGAUGCCAUUCGAUACGGGACGACUAGAGGCAGGUAGGGGAGAUUGGAAUUCCUGGUGUAGCGGUGAAAUGCGCAGAUAUCGGGAGGAACACCAGUAGCGAAGGCGGCUCGCUGGGCCAUUCCUGACGCUGAGACGCGAAAGCUAGGGGAGCAAACAGGAUUAGAUACCCCGAGUAGU
RNAcentral lists this ribosomal RNA (272 nucleotides) under uncultured bacterium. RNAcentral describes it as "partial 16S ribosomal RNA". It matches the Rfam family "Bacterial small subunit ribosomal RNA", at positions 524 to 794 of the family's 1533-position model. The record is from RNAcentral.